RNAcentral lists this ribosomal RNA (460 nucleotides) under uncultured bacterium. Its description in RNAcentral is "partial 16S ribosomal RNA". It matches the Rfam family "Bacterial small subunit ribosomal RNA", at positions 338 to 795 of the family's 1533-position model. The record is from RNAcentral.
CCUACGGGAGGCAGCAGUGAGGAAUAUUGGUCAAUGGGCGCGAGCCUGAACCAGCCAAGCAGCGUGAAGGAUGACUGCCCUACGGGUUGUAAACUUCAUUUAUAAAGGAAUAAAGUGAGGCACGUGUGCCUUUAUGCAUGUACUUUAUGAAUAAGGAUCGGCUAACUCCGUGGCAGCAGCCGCGGUAAUACGGAGGAUACGAGCGUUAUCCGGAUUGUUUGGGUUUAAAGGGAGCGGAGAUGGGUUGUUAAGUCAGUUGUGAAAGUUUGCGGUUCAACCGGAAAAUUGCAAUUGAUACUGGCAGUCUUGAGUACAGUAGAGGUAGGCGGAAUUCGUGGUGUAGCGGUGAAAUGCUUAGAUAUCACGAAGAACUCCGAUUGCGAAGGCAGCUUACUAAACUGCCACUGACAUUGAUGCUCGAAAGUGUGGGUAUCAAACAGGAUUAGAUACCCGGGUAGUC